RNAcentral lists this ribosomal RNA (1928 nucleotides) under human gut metagenome. Its description in RNAcentral is "bacterial LSU rRNA". It matches the Rfam family "Bacterial large subunit ribosomal RNA", at positions 513 to 2449 of the family's 2925-position model. The record is from RNAcentral.
GGUGAAAAGCACUUCGAACAGAAGAGUGAAAUAGUCCCUGAACCCAUACGCCUACAAGCUGUCGGAGCCGCUUCGUGCGGUGACGGCGUGCCUUUUGCAUAAUGAGCCUACGAGUUACUCAUCACCAGCGAGGUUAAGUACUUCAGGUACGUAAGCCGAAGCGAAAGCGAGUCUGAAUAGGGCGUCAAGUUGGUGGUGGUAGACGCGAAACCUUAGUGAUCUACCCAUGGGCAGGGUGAAGGUUUGGUAACACAAACUGGAGGCCCGAACCGGUAAACGUUGAAAAGUUUUCGGAUGACCUGUGGGUAGGGGUGAAAGGCCAAUCAAACUGGGAAAUAGCUCGUACUCUCCGAAAUGCAUUUAGGUGCAGCCUCUGUUGUUUUGUUCUAGAGGUAGAGCUACUGAUUGGAUGCGAGGGCUUCACCGCCUAUCAAAUCCGGCCAAACUCCGAAUGCUAGAACAUGAAGACAGGGAGUGAGCCAGCGGGUGCUAAGGUCCGUUGACGAAAGAGGGAGAACUCAGACCAUCAGCUAAGGUCCCCAAUUAUAUGCUAAGUUGGAAUAAAAACGGGGUGGGACUGCUUAGACAGCUAGGAUGUUGGCUUGGAAGCAGCCAUUCAUUUAAAGAGUGCGUAACAGCUCACUAGUCGAGCGGUCCUGCAUGGAUAAUACGCGGGCAUAAGCAUAUAACCGAAGCUAUGGGAUUGUAGAUGAUACAAUCGGUAGGAGAGCAUUCCAUUCAGCAUAGAAGCAGUACCGUGAGGUAUUGUGGAGCGGAUGGAAAAGCAAAUGUAGGCAUAAGUAACGAUAAUGCGGGUGAGAACCCCGCACGCCGAAAGAUCAAGGAUUCCCCGGCAAUGUCAAUCAUCCGGGGGUAAGUCGGAUCCUAAGGGUAAGCCGAGUGGCGAUCCCGAUGGCAAACAGGUUAAUAUUCCUGUACUGAUCAUAACUGCGAUGCAGCGACGCAGAGGUGACACUGCUGCGUACUGACGGAAUAGUACGUUGAAACCCGUAUUCUUUGAUACCGGUAGUGAAGCACGCCGGUAGAGAUGAAAGGUGAUAGUACCGCAAUGCUUCGGUUGCGCGGAUAAUGCAGGUAAGCUGACUGCCAAGAAAACCUGCUAAGCUUCAGGUAAUGAUCAUCCGUACUGUAAACGGACACACGUGAUCAGGUAGAAAAUACUAAGGCGCUCGAGAGAUUCAUGGUUAAGGAACUAGGCAAAAUGGUCCUGUAACUUCGGGAUAAAGGACGCUCUUGUGAAAGAGCCGCAGAUAAUAGGCCCAGGCGACUGUUUACCAAAAACACAUGGCUAUGCUAAUUCGCAAGAAGAUGUAUAUGGCCUGACACCUGCCCGGUGCCGGAAGGUUAAGAGGAGAGCUCAGAGGUAACUCGAAGGUUUGAAUUGAAGCCCCGGUAAACGGCGGCCGUAACUAUAACGGUCCUAAGGUAGCGAAAUUCCUUGUCGGGUAAGUUCCGACCUGCACGAAUGGUGUAACGAUCUGGGUACUGUCUCAACCAUGAGCUCGGUGAAAUUGUAGUUCCGGUGAAGAUGCCGGAUACCCGCAACGGGACGGAAAGACCCCGUGAACCUUUACUGCAGCUUUGCAUUGAUUUUGGGUAACAGAUGUGUAGGAUAGGUCGGAGGCUUUGAUGCUGCGUCGUCAGGCGUAGAGUAGCCGUCGUUGAAAUACGACCCUUUUGUUAUCUGAGGUCUAAUCCCGUUAGGGAGACAUUGCAUGGUGGGUAGUUUGACUGGGGUGGUCGCCUCCAAAAGUGUAACGGAGGCUUCUCAAGGUACCCUCAAGGCGUUUGGUAAUCGUCUGCAGAGUGCAAUGGCAUAAGGGUGCUUGACUGUGAGACCGACACGUCGAUCAGGUUGGAAACAAGAGCAUAGUGAUCCGGUGGUUCCGCAUGGAAGGGCCAUCGCU